GAUGAACGCUGGCUACAGGCUUAACACAUGCAAGUCGAGGGGAAACGACGGGGAAGCUUGCUUCCCCGGGCGUCGACCGGCGCACGGGUGAGUAACGCGUAUCCAACCUGCCUCUGACUGAGGGAUAACCCGUCGAAAGUCGGCCUAAUACCUCAUGGCAUCGUCUGCGGGCAUCCAACGACGAUUAAAGAUUUCAUCGGUCAGAGAUGGGGAUGCGUCUGAUUAGCUUGUUGGCGGGGUAACGGCCCACCAAGGCGACGAUCAGUAGGGGUUCUGAGAGGAAGGUCCACCAGAAUGGAGCUGAGACACGGUCCAAAAUCCUACGGGAGGCAGCAGUGAGGAAUAUUAGUCAAUGGGCGAGAGCCUGAACCAGCCAAGUAGCGUGCAGGAUGACGGCCAUAUGGGUUGUAAACUGCUUUUAUGCGGGGAUAAAGUGAGGGACGUGUCCUUCAUUGCAGGUACCGAAUGAAUAAGGACCGGCUAAUUCCGUG
This 491-nucleotide ribosomal RNA is filed under the name uncultured bacterium. RNAcentral describes it as "partial 16S ribosomal RNA". It matches the Rfam family "Bacterial small subunit ribosomal RNA", at positions 28 to 507 of the family's 1533-position model. The record is from RNAcentral.